CCCCUAGAUGUUCUGGGCCGCACGCGCGCUACACUGAACAGUUCAACAAGUCUUAACCUUGGCCGAUAGGUCUGGGUAAUCUUUGAACGCUGUUCGUGAUUGGGAUAGACCUUUGCAAUUAUGGGUCUUCAACGAAGAAUUCCUAGUAAACGCAAGUCAUCAGCUUGCAUUGAUUACGUCCCUGCCCUUUGUACACACCGCCCGUCGCACCUACCGAUUGAAUGGUCCGGUGAAAUCUCGGGACGGCGGCUUGGUCGCUUGCGUCCGACUGCUGAAACUUGAUUAAACCAUAUCAUUUAGAGGAAGGUGAAGUCGUAACA
RNAcentral lists this ribosomal RNA (320 nucleotides) under uncultured eukaryote. RNAcentral describes it as "partial 18S ribosomal RNA". It matches the Rfam family "Eukaryotic small subunit ribosomal RNA", at positions 1470 to 1796 of the family's 1831-position model. The record is from RNAcentral.